CGCGUGGCGAAGGGAGCGUAACACGUGGAUAACCUUCCUUCAGGCGGGGAAUAACCCAGCGAAAGUUGGGCUAAUACCGCAUAACAUGACGGCGGCACAUGCUGCUGUCCUCAAAGCCGCAAGGCACCAGAGGAGGGAUCCGCGGCCGAUUAGCUAGUUGGCGAGGUAACGGCUCACCAAGGCAAAGAUCGGUAGCCGGUCUGAGAGGAUGAUCGGCCACACUGGAACUGAGACACGGUCCAGACUCCUACGGGAGGCAGCAGUGGGGAAUCUUGCGCAAUGGGCGAAAGCCAGACGCAGCAACGCCGCGUGGGGGAUGAAGCUUCUCGGAGUGUAAACCCCUUUCGACCCGGACGAAUGCCCGCAAGGGUUAGACGGUACGGGUAUAAGAAGCCCCGGCUAACUACGUGCCAGCAGCCGCGGUAAAACGUAGGGGGCCAGCGUUGCUCGGAAUUACUGUGCGUAAAGGGUCCGUAGGCGGUGUGGCAAGUCGGAAGUGAAAUCUCUGGACUUAACUCAAAGGCUGCUUCCGA
This 533-nucleotide ribosomal RNA is filed under the name uncultured bacterium. Its description in RNAcentral is "bacterial SSU rRNA". It matches the Rfam family "Bacterial small subunit ribosomal RNA", at positions 92 to 630 of the family's 1533-position model. The record is from RNAcentral.